This 254-nucleotide ribosomal RNA is filed under the name uncultured bacterium. Its description in RNAcentral is "partial 16S ribosomal RNA". It matches the Rfam family "Bacterial small subunit ribosomal RNA", at positions 524 to 776 of the family's 1533-position model. The record is from RNAcentral.
UACGUAGGGGGCGAGCGUUGUCCGGAUUUACUGGGCGUAAAGAGCUCGUAGGCGGUUUGAUUAGUCGGGUGUGAAACCUCCAGGCUUAACCUGGAGUCGCCACUUGAUACUGUCAUGACUAGAGUCCGGUAGGGGAUCAUGGAAUUCCUGGUGUAGCGGUGGAAUGCGCAGAUAUCAGGAGGAACACCAAUGGCGAAGGCAGCUGGCUAACAUAUAACUGACACUGAGGGACGAAAGUGUGGGGAUCAAACAGG